CGGGAAGUAGCUCAGCUUGGUAGAGCACUUGGUUUGGGACCAAGGGGUCGCAGGUUCGAAUCCUGUCUUCCGAU
This 74-nucleotide transfer RNA is filed under the name Staphylococcus aureus. RNAcentral describes it as "tRNA-Pro". It matches the Rfam family "tRNA". Rfam says of the family: Transfer RNA (tRNA) molecules are approximately 80 nucleotides in length. Their secondary structure includes four short double-helical elements and three loops (D, anti-codon, and T loops). Further hydrogen bonds mediate the characteristic L-shaped molecular structure. tRNAs have two regions of fundamental functional importance: the anti-codon, which is responsible for specific mRNA codon recognition, and the 3' end, to which the tRNAs corresponding amino acid is attached (by aminoacyl-tRNA synthetases). tRNAs cope with the degeneracy of the genetic code in two manners: having more than one tRNA (with a specific anti-codon) for a particular amino acid; and 'wobble' base-pairing, i.e. permitting non-standard base-pairing at the 3rd anti-codon position. The record is from RNAcentral. Lineage: Bacteria; Bacillati; Bacillota; Bacilli; Caryophanales; Staphylococcaceae.